Molecule: transfer RNA, 58 nt
Filed under: Salmo salar (Atlantic salmon)
Lineage: Eukaryota; Metazoa; Chordata; Actinopteri; Salmoniformes; Salmonidae
Also listed under: 2 other names
Rfam family: tRNA
About the family: Transfer RNA (tRNA) molecules are approximately 80 nucleotides in length. Their secondary structure includes four short double-helical elements and three loops (D, anti-codon, and T loops).
Source: Rfam by way of RNAcentral
UAGAUCAGUAGGUAGAGCGUGGCGCUUGUAACGCCAGGGUACUAGGUUCGAUUCCUGG